GGAUCAAGUCGUCGGUCGUGCUUAGGUACGUACUGGCGUCAUUUAUUUCUCCCUUCUGACGAACCAUGAUGUCAUUAAUUUGGUGUUGCGGGGAAUUUGGACUGUUACUUUGAAAAAAUUAGAGUGUUUAAAGCAAGCUAACGCUUGAAUACAUUAGCAUGGAAUAAUGAAAUAGGACGUUCGAUCCUAUUUUGUUGGUUUCUAGGAUUGACGUA
RNAcentral lists this ribosomal RNA (215 nucleotides) under Campeiostachys nutans. RNAcentral's name for it is "Elymus nutans partial small subunit ribosomal RNA". The stretch from base 39 to 215 matches the Rfam family "Eukaryotic small subunit ribosomal RNA", at positions 686 to 864 of the family's 1831-position model. Lineage: Eukaryota; Viridiplantae; Streptophyta; Magnoliopsida; Poales; Poaceae. The record is from RNAcentral.